RNAcentral lists this ribosomal RNA (497 nucleotides) under uncultured bacterium. Its description in RNAcentral is "partial 16S ribosomal RNA". It matches the Rfam family "Bacterial small subunit ribosomal RNA", at positions 28 to 507 of the family's 1533-position model. The record is from RNAcentral.
GAUGAACGCUGGCGGCGUGCCUAAUACAUGCAAGUCGAGCGAACGGACGAGGAGCUUGCUUUUCUGAUGUUAGCGGCGGACGGGUGAGUAACACGUGGAUAACCUACCUAUAAGACUGGGAUAACUUCGGGAAACCGGAGCUAAUACCGGAUAAUAUUUUGAACCGCAUGGUUCAAAAGUGAAAGACGGUCUUGCUGUCACUUAUAGAUGGAUCCGCGCUGCAUUAGCUAGUUGGUAAGGUAACGGCUUACCAAGGCAACGAUGCAUAGCCGACCUGAGAGGGUGAUCGGCCACACUGGAACUGAGACACGGUCCAGACUCCUACGGGAGGCAGCAGUAGGGAAUCUUCCGCAAUGGGCGAAAGCCUGACGGAGCAACGCCGCGUGAGUGAUGAAGGUCUUCGGAUCGUAAAACUCUGUUAUUAGGGAAGAACAUAUGUGUAAGUAACUGUGCACAUCUUGACGGUACCUAAUCAGAAAGCCACGGCUAACUACGUG